GAUGAACGCUAGCGGCAGGCUUAACACAUGCAAGUCGAGGGGUAGAAGGAGCUUGCUCCUUUGAGACCGGCGCACGGGUGCGUAACGCGUAUGCAAUCUACCUUUUGCAGAGGAUAGCCCAGAGAAAUUUGGAUUAAUACCUCAUAGUAUGUGAGGAUGGCAUCAUUUUCACAUUAAAGUCACAACGGCAAAAGAUGAGCAUGCGUCCCAUUAGCUAGUUGGUAAGGUAACGGCUUACCAAGGCUACGAUGGGUAGGGGUCCUGAGAGGGAGAUCCCCCCANACUGGUACUGAGACACGGACCAGACUCCUACGGGAGGCAGCAGUGAGGAAUAUUGGACAAUGGGCGCAAGCCUGAUCCAGCCAUGCCGCGUGCAGGAUGACGGUCCUAUGGAUGUAAACUGCUUUGUACAGGAAGAAACACUCCCUCGUGAGGGAGCUUGACGGUACUGUAAGAAUAAGGAUCGG
RNAcentral lists this ribosomal RNA (467 nucleotides) under uncultured bacterium. Its description in RNAcentral is "bacterial SSU rRNA". It matches the Rfam family "Bacterial small subunit ribosomal RNA", at positions 28 to 496 of the family's 1533-position model. The record is from RNAcentral.